ACGGGAGGCAGCAGUGGGGAAUAUUGGACAAUGGGGGAAACCCUGAUCCAGCGACGCCGCGUGAGUGAAGAAGUAUUUCGGUAUGUAAAGCUCUAUCAGCAAGGAAGAAAAUGACGGUACUUGACUAAGAAGCUCCGGCUAAAUACGUGCCAGCAGCCGCGGUAAUACGUAUGGAGCAAGCGUUAUCCGGAUUUACUGGGUGUAAAGGAAGCGUAGACGGCGAAGCAAGUCUGAAGUGAAAUGCCGGGGCUUAACCCCGGAACUGCUUUGGAAACUGUUUUGCUAGAGUGCAGGAGAGGUAAGCGGAAUUCCUAGUGUAGCGGUGAAAUGCGUAGAUAUUAGGAGGAACACCAGUGGCGAAGGCGGCUUACUGGACCGUAACUGACGUUGAGGCUCGAAAGCGUGGGGAGCAAACAGGAUUAGAUACCCUGGUA
This 434-nucleotide ribosomal RNA is filed under the name uncultured Lachnospiraceae bacterium. RNAcentral describes it as "partial 16S ribosomal RNA". It matches the Rfam family "Bacterial small subunit ribosomal RNA", at positions 341 to 792 of the family's 1533-position model. The record is from RNAcentral. Lineage: Bacteria; Bacillati; Bacillota; Clostridia; Lachnospirales; Lachnospiraceae.